Long non-coding RNA from Enhydra lutris kenyoni (northern sea otter), 189 nucleotides. RefSeq lists it as uncharacterized. The record is from RefSeq and is a predicted model, not a curated record. The transcript has 3 exons. Lineage: Eukaryota; Metazoa; Chordata; Mammalia; Carnivora; Mustelidae.
UGCUGCAAGUACUGGAGCACCAUCUCUGAAAUCUGCUCUAAGCUGAACUCUAGCUCUACAUCUGAAGACAUUAAUCUGCGGCUGGCGCUGCAGAGUGAUUACCUUCUGACAUCUAACCUGGCUGCUUUCCGGCUCAUCUCACAGGACAUCAUCAGUGGCUCUAAUGAGUCCUUAUUCAUCAGUAAAAAU